This 64-nucleotide transfer RNA is filed under the name Corigetus marmoratus. RNAcentral's name for it is "tRNA-Glu". It matches the Rfam family "tRNA". From Rfam's summary of the family: Transfer RNA (tRNA) molecules are approximately 80 nucleotides in length. The record is from RNAcentral. Lineage: Eukaryota; Metazoa; Arthropoda; Insecta; Coleoptera; Curculionidae.
AUUUGAAUAGUUUAAAAAAAACAUUACAUUUUCAUUGUAAAAUUAGGGACUACUUUUUCAAAUA